ACCACAAUGCACACAUUGUACGGUCAUUAAUCCUAUUCAGGGUGACAUAUCAGCUUCAGCUGACAACAAUGAACAUUUUCUCUUGUCGUUAAAGUAGAGCGCAGUUGUUAUAUCUAUUUUCAAAUGAAAUGUUAUAUCAUUAAUGCACUUCCUGCUUGGGCAGACCUAUGCCAGAUACAGCUGGCUCGUUCAGUGUGACUUGCUAUCGCAAGGGAAUACAACCCAGUGUCUAUACAGUGACGUAUCCCUGCUGUACCAGGGCAAGAAGAAGCAACUUGACUCCAGGAUGGGGAAGCUGCUUCUGUUGGCUACUCUGGUGUUACUCAACACAGUGGCCUGUCUGGCCGUGGACAACAGUGUGUGCCUCGCCCUGUUCGGUGUUGGGCUUGACGUCUGCCAAGUGAACACCCUCGAGGGGGAAGUGUAUUGGUAACAUCGACAACGGAGAACUAUGCCAGUGCCCAGAAUCACGUGCUGGAACUCUGUGUCAGGUUCAAGUCGUCGGGUCGAAGAAGAACCUCAGCCUGUGCGAGCGACAACAGGAGCUACAUACAACGACGUUUCGAGUCCUCAACACCACAGACAUGACCGACAGCAGCAUAGUGGGGUUCCGUGCCUUAGUUGACCUUAAUGUACUCAAGUCCGUGAUGCACGCGAUCAACAUUUCAUACCUCCACGAGCGCACGUGCUUGCCAGACGGCACGUUUACGUCUGCCCAGUGUGACGUCAGCAUUGAUGACCUUGUCACGAGAAGAUGUUAUUGCGUCAACAGCACCACGGGAGAAGUUGUGCGCGAGGUCACAGCAACGGCCUUGGCGAACGUCAACUGUGAAGGUGUCAAAAAAGCAUGCGAA
Molecule: long non-coding RNA, 854 nt
Organism: Haliotis rubra (blacklip abalone)
Lineage: Eukaryota; Metazoa; Mollusca; Gastropoda; Lepetellida; Haliotidae
Exons: 5
Source: RefSeq, a predicted model, not a curated record